This is a long non-coding RNA of Balaenoptera musculus (blue whale), 181 nucleotides long. RefSeq lists it as uncharacterized. The transcript is spliced from 3 exons. Lineage: Eukaryota; Metazoa; Chordata; Mammalia; Artiodactyla; Balaenopteridae. The record is from RefSeq and is a predicted model, not a curated record.
GGGAUUUCCCUGGUGCUAGUUUUUAAUGGUCUGGAUAGAAGACCAAACCAGCCACAACAUUCCCUUAAGCCAAAGUCUAAUCCAGGGCAAGUCCCUAACUCUCUUCUAAGAAGGCUGAAAGAAGUGAGGAAGCUGCAGAAGAAAAGUCUGAAGCUAACAGAGGUUGGUUCAUGAAGUUUUA